AGAUUAGCGCAAAUUUUGCUUUAUGGUUUCGGCCCAUCUAAUUGGGAUGAAACCUCCCACUAAUCUU
RNAcentral lists this transfer RNA (67 nucleotides) under Eunoe nodosa. Its description in RNAcentral is "tRNA-Arg". The record is from RNAcentral. Lineage: Eukaryota; Metazoa; Annelida; Polychaeta; Phyllodocida; Polynoidae.